AUGAAUGACAAACUCCCUCCGAUCAUGUGCUGGAACGUGCGCGGGUUAAACCACCCCGCAAAGCGCGCCUCUGUCUGCGAGAUCAUAGCAGCGAAUCGAAUAGCGAUCCUAUGUCUACAAGAAACGAAGAUCGAUGCCUGGUCUCCUAGUCUAGUCCGAGAAAUUGGCGGACCCUCGCUGACUGGCUGCAUCGCCCUCCCGGCGAUUGGCACCAGCGGUGGAGCGGCAAUUCUCUGGAACGAGGGCCUCGCCACUGUCACCUCCCACGCCAUUGGCGCCUUCACCAUCACAACAAAAGUAUCCCUGCUGGGCCAGCCACAUAGCUUCUAG
This 330-nucleotide ribosomal RNA is filed under the name Triticum aestivum (bread wheat). Its description in RNAcentral is "partial small subunit ribosomal RNA". The record is from RNAcentral. Lineage: Eukaryota; Viridiplantae; Streptophyta; Magnoliopsida; Poales; Poaceae.